UCAACCUUCUGACUUUGCCGAUUGGCACCACGACGAGUUUUCUUCCAAAAGGAAUUUGCCUAGGAGGCCUGCAUGAGAGUAUCAAAAAACUCGAUGGAGCUUACCUGCAACCUAACCAGAGCGCGGACUCGCCCCUGAAAUUGAAUACACUAGCCUAUGCUAUUCUUCCUUUCUUUAAUUCUUCUUCAUCGAGGAGUCAUGGUCAUGUGCAGGGCUUAGUUACCUACAUGGUGCCUGAUGACUUGUCGAUUACACCCAUGUCCAUGGCAACAACCAUGGCUUUGUUUAAGAAGUACAACAUAGAAGAAGUUGAUGUUCUCGAGGAGAAGAUGGUUGCAAUUAGCCUUGAUGAGGUAAACAAUUAUCUGGCUUGUUGGGUUUUAAUUGAUUUCUUUUCUGGCUUAUUCUCUUGCAGAUUUGGUUGGGGUUUGGAGUUAAUUUUUUUCCCAUAACAUAAUUAAUUAGGAGAUAUUACUUGUAAAUCAAUUAUUAAAUUAUUAUACCUUGUUGGGUAAUUGAUUUUUGAAAUAGUUUUCUAUUCAACAAAAUAAAAAGAAAAAACAUAUUUUCAAUUAGGAAAUAAAAAACAUGAUGUUUUUAAAUUAAGUUUUUUAGUUAAUUAUUUCCAUUUAUUUUCUAAGAUUUAUUCUAAAAAUAAUAAUAUAAAUAUGGAAGAAUGAUUAAAAAUAAAAUAUUACAUGUAACACUAUUUUUAAAACAUAUCUAGAAACAUUAAAAAAAAAAAAAAGAAUUACAGAACGUUUUAGAUUCUUCAAUAGGCUUGUUCUGCAAAAUAUCAUAAAUAAUUUUAAAAAACCAUUCUCAAAAAGUUUUUUCCAUGAAUGUUUUAAAAAACAUAUCCUAAAUUUUUUUCUAAAGUUUUGAAAGGAAUUUUCUGCCAACCAUCUACCAUUAAACCGCCUAGCCAUCAAAUUUACCGUCAACCACUGACCCUUGAACUGCCUAGCCAUCAAAUCGACUGCCAACCAUCAACCAUUGAACCGCCUCGCCAUCAAACGGACUGCAAACCCCGCCUAAACCAGCAACCACAUUGGUGACCAUCCAAAUAAAGCCCAUGUUGGGCUCUAUGGUAAACCCAGGAGUUGUGGAGAUGUCAUUCCUUUGGAUGCGUAAUGUAUUAAAAGGCCUCCUCGUUUUUAUCACCACCAGAUGUGGGAUUGAUUAGUUUCAAGAAAAGUCAAUGAAAAAAAAAUCCCACCUCAAGUUGAGGAGAUAGCAUAGGCACCAUUCGGCUACACACAUUUAAAUGCUAAACCAUCAAAAGCAACCAAGCUGAUUCAAUUUUUAACAAUUGUGAAGUUUUGGUUAGGUUUUGUUAUUGUGGAAAUUGAUUUAGUUGAUUCAAUUUUCAAUUUUCUUGAUUCCUAAUCAAUAAAAAUUAAAUCAAAUUGAUAUUUCUUAUAAUUUAUAAUGGUUUCCCGUUGAAUGAAUUUUUUUUUUUUUAUCUGUUACUUUCAUUAUUAUGUAUAUUACAUGGACUCAAUUUAAUUAAUUCAUUAUUGAUAAAUUAUAGUCAAAACAAUCUUCAAAUACAUCAAUUAUAGAACAAAAAUAUAUAUAAAAACUUAAAAUGUUCUUAAUCCAUUUUUCAUAUUUUUAAAUAUAUUUUAAAAAUAUAUUUUAUCCUAAUACUUUAUUUUUAAGUAUUUUUCAUAUUUGUAUAAUUAUUCUUUAAAAUAAAAUUUAGAAAAUAAGCAAAAAUAAUAAAAAAGAUGUUCCUUAAAAACACAAUAUUUUUUAUUUUUUAGAAUAAAAAGAUAUUUUCUAUCUUUAAAAAUAAAAAAUUAAUUUCUAUUUGUAGAAUUAAUGAAGGGCUAAAUCCAUCAAUUUAUAUAUAAAAUGAUUUACAUAAUAAAAAUGCAUGAGACGUGAUUUGACCUAACCGUACGUCCAUGAAUAAGAAAAACUAUUUUAUCAUGCAUAACAUAGAAAAUAUCAUAAAGAAUAUAAACCCAUUACAAAAACAAUUAUUUACGGCCACGUGGUGGGUUGUGAAAUAUGAAAUUUCUGGAAAAGAGUAUGGGAUGAUUGGGCUUGGGAGGAUGGAGGGUGGAUAUGAACCGAGAGCCGCCCAGAAGGGGCCCACUAAGAAGAUAGGUGCACACUAAGUUACAUAGUAUUAGUUUGGUGGGCUAAUAAUGGAACAAAAGGGUGGGGCCCAUUUCCUUAAUGUUGGAAUCAUAAUAUACUGGCCCAACUUGACAGGGCGGUGUUUACUUUGAUGCAGAUUGCUGACAUGGCACUUUUUCCCCAGAUAUUUUUUAUUUUACCAAAAUUUCUUCAACUUCUACAUUUAGAUUUUUUUUUCCCUCUGUAUAAUUAUUUAAAUUAUAUAUUCGAUAAAAAUUUUUAAAAAAAAAUUAAAAAAUGUGCAGAAAAAUUUCAACUUUUUAGAAUGUUGGGGAAAAUAGUUUUGAAAAACAGUUUUUAAGAAUUGUUUUGUAAAAAAUUGCUUUGAAAAACAGUUGUAUGAUAAGAAUAUGAUUUGGGGAAUAAAGUUGAGAAGAAGAUUAGGAUGGAAAGAGGCACAGGUGGAAGAGGGAGGAAAACACAAACUGAAAGUAGAAUAUCUGGUUGGUUCCAGGACAAGGUGGUGAGCCCACAUCGAAUCCAAGGAUUAGCUUUGAAACUACUACUCACGGCAUCUUUGCAGACCAAGCAAGCUUCUGCCAUUGGUUUCCUUUGUAAAAUGGCCUAGCUUAUAUAUCUAUCGUCAAAAGUAUAAAUUUGCAUUAUUAGCCCCAAUGAACAUGAAUCUGGAGGCAUUUUUUUCAGAGAAAUGCAGCUCUUUGGAAAAAAAAACCUCAUGAAAUCUCAAAUCGCUUGCACUUAAUUGCAGACUAAGUCAGAACUGUAAGUUUUCUUUUUGGGAAAAUAUAACUCUUCCCAAUUCCAGAAGGCAUUCAUGCUGUGAACCAUAUAUGUUGAAUUUUGAUUGGUUUUGUGAUAGGGUUUUAAGCUGCUGAAGGAAGCAUCAUUGCAGUCCAACACGUUCUAACCAGCAUCGUCCAUAGAAGUAAUAAAGAAUAGUAUUAAAAAAAAAAGGGCUUUUGAGGAUAAGAGAAAACCAUUAAUUUAAGAGAAAGGAAUGGACCAAAGCGCCACUUUGCCCUAUGCUAAUUAUAUAAUGAAUUUAAAAGAAGAAGAGAGCCAUUAAUUUUCACUUGCACUUUUACGAAGUGCAUUAAAUCAUAGGGGUUACGUGCACUUAAUUCAUUUAGAUCAACCAUUAAACUUCCCCACACAGGCCUCCCAAGUAUAUAUGGGUUCAUGGAAACAUGCUCCAAGUAUAUAUCGUCUGUUUAUCUGAGCGGCUUUUAAAUAGUAGAAACAAUGGCAGAAACCACAAUGAAGUUGAAUCUUGUAAUAGACAAGAACAGUCAGAAAGUCCGAUCCUCUAUACUGAAGCAGAAAAUGACUUCGUAGAUUUCCUCUUCAAUCUUUUUACAUUACUCGUUGGGACUGUUAUUAUGCUUCUUACAGAGAAGGGCAUGAUGGGUUGCCUGAGAGAUUUGUAUCAGAGCGUUGAAAAUUUGAGUGAAACUUACAUGCAGCCAAAUCAGAACAAGCCUCUACUAAAACCCAUUUUCCUAAGGUCGAGUUACUGCACUUUACCAACCCCCAAAAAGUUUUAUAUCUGUUUAUGAUGAAAUUUUUAUUUAAAAGUUAUCUAUGUUCUAAUAUAAUGUUAUUAUUAAAACUUAGGUAGUCAAUUCUAAAUUAAUAAAUGUUUGAUUAAAUCUAAAAAUCUAAAUAUUUAUAAAAAUCUUUAAAUUAAACUAAACAUAACCUACAAAUAAAAAAGAUAUUUGAUAAAAUAUCAAAUAUUUAAAUUAAAUUAAAAUUUACCAACAAUUAAAAUAACAUAUGUUUGAAUAAUUAUGUACCUAGUCAUGAAGUAAAAAAUACUUGAUUAAACUUAAAAGUCUAAACAUUUAAAAAUCUCUUGAAAUUAAACAAAACAUAGCCCACAGUAAAAAAUAUAUAUUUAAUAAAAUAUCAAAUACAAAAUUAUAAAAACUUAUUUUUCUAGAUUUAUUUUAUGUAUAUUAGGAUUUAAAUAAAUUUAAUUUUAUUAACAUUAAAUAAAAUUUAAAAUAUAAACAAACAAAUAUUUUAUAAAAUCUAUUCAAUGUUCAUGGUUAUCUAAUUUUUUAUUAUAUCUAUUUUUCUUUCACACACAAAAUUAGUUUUUUAGAGGGUAAACUUGCAUUUUUAUUUUUAGUUUUUAACUUUCUAAAAUUCCUAAAUAAGCAAAAGAAUUUUUUAUUUUUAAAAUAUGAGCGGGGGCAUAUACCCCCAAGCCUAUGGUGGCUUUGCCCUUGGCUAAAGGAAGCUUGGAUGUGAGAUAUUCCUUGAGAACCAUUGUCUAUACCAUUGCUAAAAAAGAAUAGAACCCAAAAACUUUUUGGGAAAGGGGAAAAAAUCAAAAUUCAAAGCCAUACUCGCAAGAAGAGAAUCAAAACCAUUAAUUGAGAGGAAGGGAAAGAAUCAAAACCACUUUAUCUUUGCUUAUAUAAUGAAUUUAAAACAAAAAGAAAACAAAUAUACUUUUUAGGAUUGAGAAAGGAAAGAAUCCAAGUUCAAAACCAUACUUGCAAGGAGAGAACCAAAACCAUUAAUUGAAGAGAAAGGAAAGAACCAAAACCACUUUGUCUUUGCUUAUAUAAUGAUUUUAAAACAAGAAGAGCACCACAAAUUCCACUUCAAGAUCACUAGUCAUCUAUUUUAAUUUCAUCUCCUUUUUCUCUCUCUAUUUUAGUUUUCUGUAGAAGCUCACUUUUAGGUACUUAAAAGUUAGUGGACUACUUUUUUGGUGGAAAUGGCUUUCAACUCAUGUAAGCUUACCAAACUUGGUUGAGUUGUAUGUUUGUUAAUUUUCUUGUUUUCUUGAUAAAUUAAUCCGUAUAGAUAUUAUCUGCUUCGAGUCUAAAGCAUUCUCAUGAUUUAAAAACACAUUUAUAAAAUUAAGAGGAGUUUAUACAUAAAUAGCGUCAAAUUUUUUUUCUCCUAUCUAUUAUGAGAUUUCAUGUAUAUAUAUAUUCAACUCACAUAAGCUUACCAAACAUGGGGUUGAGUUAUAUGUUUGUAAGUUUCCUUGUUUUCUUGAUAAAUUAAUCCAUAUAAAUAUUAUUCACUUUAGGCUUAAAGAGUUCUCACGAUUUAAAAACAUGUUUAUAAAAUUAAGAGGAGUUGAUAUAUAAAUGUAUAGCAUCAAAAUUUCUUUCUCCUUACCAAACUUGGCUGAGUUAUAUGUUUGUUAAUUUCCUUAUUUUCUUGAUAAAUUAAUCCAUGUAGAUAUUAUCUACUUCAAACUUAAAAAGUUCUCACAAUUUAAAAGCACGUUUAUAAAUUAAAGGGAGUUAAUACAUAAAUAAUGUCAAAAAAUUUUGUUAGUUUGUUUCCUCGUUAGUUAAUGCAUAAAUAAUAUCAUAUAUAGCGUUAACUCUGGUAAGCUUACCAAGCAUGGGGUUGAGUUAUAUGUAUGUUACUUUGUUAGUUUAUUUGUUUUCUUGAUAGAUUAAUCUAUAUAGAUAUUAUCCAUUUUAGGCUUAAAAAGUUUUCACGAUUUAAAAACAUGUUUAUAAAAUUAAGAGGAGUUCCUACAUAAAUAUAUAACAUCAAAUUCUUUUUUUCUCCUAUAUAUAUAUAUAUAUAUAUAUUUAUUUAUUUAUUUAUUCAACUUAGGUAAGCUUACCAAACUUAGCUGAGUUAUAUGUUUGUUAAUUUCCUUAUUUUUUUGAUAAAUUAAUCUGUAUAGAUAUUAUCUGUUUCAAGCCUAAAGAGUUUUCACGAUUUAAAAACAUGUUUAGAAAAUUAAGAGGAGUUAAUACAUAAAUAGCAUCAAAUUUUUUUCUUUUAUCUAAUGUGAGAUUUCAUAUAUAUAUAUAUAUAUAUAUAUACACAAUUGCAAUUGAGUUGUUACAUAACUAAUUUUGGUUUUAUGGUCUAAUUCAUGCAUGGCAACCAAAGCAACCCCUGAGAUGAACUUGAAGCUUCUAAUCAACACACAGGACAAUAAAGUUGUCUUCGCUGAAGCUGAAAAAGAUUUCAUAGAUUUACUGUUCAACCUCCUAACUUUGCCUAUUGGCACCAUUGUGGGUUUCCUCCCAAAAGAAGUUUGUCUAGGAGGCCUGCAUAAGAGUGUGAAAAAACUAGAGGGAGCUUACUUGCAGCCUAACCAGAGCUCAGACUCGCCCUUGAAGUUGAACACACCAGCAUAUGCUAUUCUUCCUCUCUUUAAUCCUUCUUCAUCAAGGAGUAAUGAUCCUUUCUUUCAUUGCUCUUCAUCAAGGAGUUAUGGUCAUGUGCAGGGCUUGGUUACCUACAUGGUGACUGAUGACUUGUCGAUUACACCCAUGUCCCUGACAGCAACCAUGGCUUUGUUUAAGAAGUGCAACAUAGAGGAAGUUAAUGUUCUUGAGGAGAAGGUGGUUAAAAUUGGUUUUGAUGAGG
RNAcentral lists this long non-coding RNA (6477 nucleotides) under Vitis vinifera (wine grape). RNAcentral's name for it is "long non-coding RNA (VVIN_LNC004024)". Lineage: Eukaryota; Viridiplantae; Streptophyta; Magnoliopsida; Vitales; Vitaceae. The record is from RNAcentral.